GGCAGAGGGUGCAAACGUUGCUCGGAAUUACUGGGCGUAAAGCGCGUGUAGGCGGGCUGAUAAGUCGGAUGUGAAAUCCCUGAGCUCAACUCAGGAACUGCAUUCGAAACUGUCAGUCUUGAGUAGUGGAGAGGAAAGCAGAAUUCCUGGUGUAGAGGUGAAAUUCGUAGAUAUCAGGAGGAACACCGGUGGCGAAGGCGGCUUUCUGGACACUUACUGACGCUGAGACGCGAAAGCGUGGGGAGCAAACAGG
This 253-nucleotide ribosomal RNA is filed under the name uncultured bacterium. RNAcentral's name for it is "partial 16S ribosomal RNA". It matches the Rfam family "Bacterial small subunit ribosomal RNA", at positions 524 to 776 of the family's 1533-position model. The record is from RNAcentral.